CUCGUAGGCGGUUCAGCAAGUCGUUUGUGAAAGUCCGAGGCUCAACCUCGGAAUUGCAGUCGAAACUGCUGUGACUCGAGUCCGGUAGAGGAGAAUGGAAUUCCCGGUGUAGCGGUGAAAUGCGCAGAUAUCGGGAGGAACACCAGUAGCGAAGGCGGUUCUCUGGGCCGGUACUGACGCUGAGGAGCGAAAGCGUGGGAGCAAACA
RNAcentral lists this ribosomal RNA (207 nucleotides) under uncultured bacterium. Its description in RNAcentral is "partial 16S ribosomal RNA". It matches the Rfam family "Bacterial small subunit ribosomal RNA", at positions 568 to 774 of the family's 1533-position model. The record is from RNAcentral.